RNAcentral lists this ribosomal RNA (67 nucleotides) under Flavobacterium aquariorum. RNAcentral's name for it is "Flavobacterium sp. IMCC34762 partial 16S ribosomal RNA". The stretch from base 1 to 60 matches the Rfam family "Bacterial small subunit ribosomal RNA", at positions 1474 to 1533 of the family's 1533-position model. The record is from RNAcentral. Lineage: Bacteria; Pseudomonadati; Bacteroidota; Flavobacteriia; Flavobacteriales; Flavobacteriaceae.
ACUAGGGCUAAGUCGUAACAAGGUAGCCGUACCGGAAGGUGCGGCUGGAACACCUCCUUUCUAGAGC